UACGUAGGGGCCAAGCGUUGUCCGGAAUUAUUGGGCGUAAAGAGCUCGUAGGCGGCCCAUCAAGUCGGAGGUGAAAUCUCAAGGCUCAACCUUGAAAUUGCAUCCGAUACUGAUGGGCUUGAGGCAGGUAGGGGAAAGCGGAAUUCCUGGUGUAGCGGUGAAAUGCGCAGAUAUCAGGAGGAACACCGGUGGCGAAGGCGGCUUUCUGGGCCUGUACUGACGCUGAGGAGCGAAAGCGUGGGGAGCAAACAGG
Molecule: unclassified non-coding RNA, 253 nt
Filed under: uncultured Euzebyales bacterium
Lineage: Bacteria; Bacillati; Actinomycetota; Nitriliruptoria; Euzebyales
Description: contains 16S-23S intergenic spacer region
Rfam family: Bacterial small subunit ribosomal RNA
Source: RNAcentral